AUUGAACGCUGGCGGCAUGCUUUACACAUGCAAGUCGAACGGCAGCGCGGGCUUCGGCCUGGCGGCGAGUGGCGAACGGGCGAGUAAUGCAUCGGAACGUGCCCAGUAGUGGGGGAUAGCCCGGCGAAAGCCGGAUUAAUACCGCAUACGACCUGAGGGUGAAAGCGGGGGACCGAAAGGCCUCGCGCUAUUGGAGCGGCCGAUGUCGGAUUAGCUAGUUGGUGGGGUAAAGGCUUACCAAGGCGACGAUCCGUAGCUGGUCUGAGAGGACGACCAGCCACACUGGGACUGAGACACGGCCCAGACUCCUACGGGAGGCAGCAGUGGGGUAUUUUGGACAAUGGGGGCAACCCUGAUCCAGCCAUGCCGCGUGCGGGAAGAAGGCCUUCGGGUUGUAAACCGCUUUUGUUCGGGAAGAAAUCCUCUGGGCUAAUACCCCGGGGGGAUGACGGUACCGGAAGAAUAAGCACCGGCUAACUACGUG
Molecule: ribosomal RNA, 484 nt
Filed under: uncultured bacterium
Lineage: Bacteria
Description: partial 16S ribosomal RNA
Rfam family: Bacterial small subunit ribosomal RNA
Source: RNAcentral